This is a long non-coding RNA of Bufo bufo (common toad), 153 nucleotides long. RefSeq lists it as uncharacterized. NCBI's taxonomy places the organism in Eukaryota, Metazoa, Chordata, Amphibia, Anura, Bufonidae. The transcript is spliced from 3 exons. The record is from RefSeq and is a predicted model, not a curated record.
AUUAUAUAAUUGUAGCCAAAUCAUGUCAUCUGACCGCUCUCCCUCUGGGCCUAAUCCCCCCCCAUCCACUGGGGACCCCAGCUUACCAGCCAUGAGUGCACAGGCCCUGGAGCUACAACGCUCAGUGUCUAGUGCUAUUAUUGAGGCAAUGGG